AACGAACGCUGGCGGCGUGCCUAACACAUGCAAGUCGAACGCCCUAGCAAUAGGGAGUGGCAGACGGGUGAGUAACACGUGGGAACCUUCCCUAUAGUACGGAAUAUACCAGGGAAACUUGGAGCAAUACCGUAUACGCCCGAGAGGGGAAAGAUUUAUCGCUAUAGGAUGGGCCCGCGUAGGAUUAGCUAGUUGGUGAGGUAAUGGCUCACCAAGGCGACGAUCCUUAGCUGGUUUGAGAGAACGACCAGCCACACUGGGACUGAGACACGGCCCAGACUCCUACGGGAGGCAGCAGUGGGGAAUAUUGGACAAUGGGCGCAAGCCUGAUCCAGCCAUGCCGCGUGAGUGAUGAAGGCCUUAGGGUUGUAAAGCUCUUUUGCCGGGGACGAUAAUGACGGUACCCGGAGAAUAAGUCCCGGCUAACUUCGUGCCAG
RNAcentral lists this ribosomal RNA (437 nucleotides) under uncultured bacterium. RNAcentral describes it as "bacterial SSU rRNA". It matches the Rfam family "Bacterial small subunit ribosomal RNA", at positions 29 to 511 of the family's 1533-position model. The record is from RNAcentral.